AAAUAUAUUCAUGCAGAGAAUGGCCUAAGGCAAGAGCCGUAAAGACAAGCUAUGCAAAAGGAUGAGGCACUUGGUCAGGCACUGUCUGCUCCUGGCUGUUAAGAAGGCCAGGGCAGAGGCAAGCCCAGCUCAGGGAAUUCUCUGGGACUCCAGCUGCAUAAACAAUGCAUCAUGGGAGAAAGGCUGGAGCUUUAAGAUAAGACAGAACCCUGAGUUCCCAAUAGGAAAGAACCCUCCUUUUCCAGUGAUGAUUGUAGUAAGAUAAAUGAUUUAAUCUAAAACUGGAGGUAGAAAAUGAGAGUAAACCAGCAAGGAUAAUGACCUCAAUGACUGGAUUACAGGAAAAGCCAGCCUUUCACCAGAAGGAUGGAGUGUCUGAAAAAGUGAUUCAUGCUCUGAACCAGUGCCCAGUGAAUAAUAUGAGACCAAGUAUCAGCAUAUAAUUACCUAGUGGGUACAGAGCUGUUACCCCAGGUUCCCUUAGAUACUCUAAAAUAAUCUUUGCAAAUUUAAAACAAUUUACUUCACUGUGGAUUGAAAGAGGGAAAGAGGAAAGGCACCCAUGAAGCGUAAAUGUUUAUCUUUGAAAGAUUAAUUCUUCCUGACCAACAGAGGAGUAAGGCUGCCCAGGCUCAUGCCUGUGAAACGUGGGCACCCCUGGAAACCAAGUUUUAUCACAUGAUCCCAGAAAAAGUUUGAGUGUCUCAUCCAAAAGCACCUAAUGGCUAUUUUGGGGGAUACAGACUAUGAGACUAUGGGCAGAGCACUAUGCCUGGAAAACACAAAAAGAAGAAAAUAAAAUCCUGCUCUUGAAGAGGCAAUGAUGUAAGGGUUGAGUCAAAUAUGUUUAAUAGAAAUGCAUUAUGCCUUUCUAUCAUAAGGUGACUAUCCUUUUUUUUUUUUUUUUUUUGAGAUGAAGUUUCGCUUUUGUUGCCCAGGUUGGAGUGCAAUGGCGCGAUCUCGGCUCACUGCAACCUCUGCCUCCCAUUCAGUAAGCAGCAAUCUUCACUUGGGCUGGUGCUCUGAGAAUCCCUCCGUCUCUCUCCAGCUUUUAAUCCUUUAUUAAGGCCGUUUUUCACCAUUAUGAGAAUGAAUGGUUAUACAUUGUUCAAAAUAAAUGCCAUUUUAAAAUUA
Molecule: long non-coding RNA, 1134 nt
Organism: Homo sapiens (human)
Lineage: Eukaryota; Metazoa; Chordata; Mammalia; Primates; Hominidae
Exons: 2
Source: RefSeq, a predicted model, not a curated record